GGCGGUGUAGCUCAGCUGGCUAGAGCACUCGGUUCAUACCCGAAAGGUCGGGGGUUCGACUCCCUCUGCCGCUACCA
Molecule: transfer RNA, 77 nt
Filed under: Candidatus Izimoplasma sp. ZiA1
Lineage: Bacteria; Bacillati; Mycoplasmatota; Mollicutes; Candidatus Izemoplasmatales; Candidatus Izemoplasmataceae
Description: Candidatus Izimaplasma sp. ZiA1 tRNA-Met
Rfam family: tRNA
About the family: Transfer RNA (tRNA) molecules are approximately 80 nucleotides in length.
Source: RNAcentral